This 374-nucleotide ribosomal RNA is filed under the name uncultured bacterium. Its description in RNAcentral is "bacterial SSU rRNA". It matches the Rfam family "Bacterial small subunit ribosomal RNA", at positions 790 to 1167 of the family's 1533-position model. The record is from RNAcentral.
GUAGUCCACGCCGUAAACCAUGAUUACUAGUUGUUUGCAAUAUACCGCAAGUGACCAAGCGAAAGCGAUAAGUAAUCCACCUGGGGAGUACGCCGGCAACGGUGAAACUCAAAGGAAUUGACGGGGGCCCGCACAAGCGGAGGAACAUGUGGUUUAAUUCGAUGAUACGCGAGGAACCUUACCCGGGCUUGAAAUGCAUUUGACCGUCGAAGAAAUUUGACCUCUAGCAAUAGCAAAUGCGUAGGUGCUGCAUGGUUGUCGUCAGCUCGUGCCGUGAGGUGUCGGCUUAAGUGCCAUAACGAGCGCAACCCACAUUGUUAGUUACUAACAGAUCAAGCUGAGGACUCUAACAAGACUGCCAGCGUAAGCUGCGA